Molecule: ribosomal RNA, 585 nt
Filed under: proteobacterium Ri1Ps_4749
Lineage: Bacteria; Pseudomonadati; Pseudomonadota
Description: bacterial SSU rRNA
Rfam family: Bacterial small subunit ribosomal RNA
Source: RNAcentral
AGCCUGAUCCAGCCAUGCCGCGUGGGUGAAGAAGGCCUUCGGGUUGUAAAGCUCUUUUGUUGGGGAAGAAACGGGCCUUUCUAAUACAGGGGUGUAAUGACGGUACCUGAAGAAUAAGCACCGGCUAACUACGUGCCAGCAGCCGCGGUAAUACGUAGGGUGCAAGCGUUAAUCGGAAUUACUGGGCGUAAAGCGUGCGCAGGCGGUUUUGUAAGUCUGUUGUGAAAUCCCCGGGCUCAACCUGGGAAUGGCAAUGGAUACUGCACGGCUAGAGUGUGGCAGAGGGGGGUAGAAUUCCACGUGUAGCAGUGAAAUGCGUAGAUAUGUGGAGGAACAUCCAUGGCGAAGGCAGCCCCCUGGGUCAAAACUGACGCUCAUGCACGAAAGCGUGGGGAGCAAACAGGAUUAGAUACCCUGGUAGUCCACGCCCUAAACGAUGUCUACUAGUUGUCGGGUCUUAUUUGACUUGGUAACGCAGCUAACGCGUGAAGUAGUACCGCCUGGGGAGUACGGUCGCAAGAUAAUGACUCAAAGGAAUUGACGGGGACCCGCACAAGCGGUGGAUGAUGUGUAUUAAUUCUAUGC